RNAcentral lists this ribosomal RNA (198 nucleotides) under Triticum aestivum (bread wheat). RNAcentral describes it as "partial small subunit ribosomal RNA". The record is from RNAcentral. Lineage: Eukaryota; Viridiplantae; Streptophyta; Magnoliopsida; Poales; Poaceae.
AUGGAUUCCUUGAGGGGUCCUACUUUCUUGCUGCUGUUGCAGAACUUGAGGAGAGGGAUGAGAGCGAAUGGCAACUCAAACGAAAGAAUCAUCUGCAUCAGAGAAGAAAAAAAUCAGGAACCAAGCUCAUCAGUCAGCCCGGAGAUUAAUAUUUCUUUGGGUACAAAGUGCAGAUUAACUAAUCAGCCAUUGCAGUGA